RNAcentral lists this ribosomal RNA (639 nucleotides) under uncultured Methanosaeta sp. RNAcentral describes it as "bacterial SSU rRNA". It matches the Rfam family "Archaeal small subunit ribosomal RNA", at positions 86 to 724 of the family's 1478-position model. Lineage: Archaea; Methanobacteriati; Methanobacteriota; Methanomicrobia; Methanotrichales; Methanotrichaceae. The record is from RNAcentral.
CUGCUCAGUAACACGUGGACAACCUACCCUUUGGGUCCGGCAUAAUCCUGGGAAACUGGGAAUAAUUCCGGAUAGGUCACCGAUGCUGGAAUGCGCGGUGGCCGAAAGCUCCGGCGCCCGAGGAUGGGUCUGCGGCCUAUCAGGGUUGUAGUGGGUGUAACGUACCUACUAGCCUACGACGGGUACGGGUUGUGAGAGCAAGAGCCCGGAGAUGGAUUCUGAGACACGAAUCCAGGCCCUACGGGGUGCAGCAGGCGCGAAAACUUUACAAUGCGGGAAACCGUGAUAAGGGGAUCUCGAGUGCCAGCAUAUAAUGUUGGCUGUCCAGAUGCCUAAAAAGCAUCUGUUAGCAAGGGCCGGGCAAGACCGGUGCCAGCCGCCGCGGUAACACCGGCGGCCCGAGUGGUAACCGCUAUUAUUGGGUCUAAAGGGUCUGUAGCCGGCCAGGUAAGUCCCUUGGGAAAUCUGGCAGCUCAACUGUCAGGCUGCUAGGGGAUACUGUUUGGCUUGGGACCGGGAGAGGUGAGAGGUACCUUGGGGGUAGGGGUGAAAUCUUGUGAUCCCCGAGGGACGACCGAUGGCGAAGGCAUCUUACCAGAACGGCUUCGACAGUGAGGGACGAAAGCUGGGGGAGCAAAC